GCGGGUGUAGUUUAGUGGUAAAAUUCAAGCUUCCCAAGCUUGCGUCGCGAGUCCGAUUCUCGUCACCCGCU
Molecule: transfer RNA, 71 nt
Filed under: Lactiplantibacillus xiangfangensis
Lineage: Bacteria; Bacillati; Bacillota; Bacilli; Lactobacillales; Lactobacillaceae
Also listed under: 1 other name
Description: tRNA-Gly(ccc)
Rfam family: tRNA
About the family: Transfer RNA (tRNA) molecules are approximately 80 nucleotides in length. Their secondary structure includes four short double-helical elements and three loops (D, anti-codon, and T loops).
Source: RNAcentral